Molecule: ribosomal RNA, 468 nt
Filed under: uncultured bacterium
Lineage: Bacteria
Description: partial 16S ribosomal RNA
Rfam family: Bacterial small subunit ribosomal RNA
Source: RNAcentral
GACGAACGCUGGCGGCGUGCUUAACACAUGCAAGUCGAACGGAAAGGCCCUGCUUUUGUUGGGUGCUCGAGUGGCGAACGGGUGAGUAACACGUGAGUAACCUGCCCUUGACUUUGGGAUAACUUCAGGAAACUGCGGCUAAUACCGGAUAGGAGCUCCUGCUGCAUGGUGGGGGUUGGAAAUUUUCGGCGGUUGGGGAUGGACUCGCGGCUUAUCAGCUUGUUGGUGGGGUAGUGGCUUACCAAGGCUUUGACGGGUAGCCGGCCUGAGAGGGUGACCGGCCACAUUGGGACUGAGAUACGGCCCAGACUCCUACGGGAGGGAGCAGUGGGGAUUAUUGCACAAUGGGCGGAAGCCUGAUGCAGCAACGCCGCGUGCGGAAUGACGGCCUUCGGGUUGUAAACCGCUUUCGCCUGUGACGAAGCGUGAGUGACGGUAAUGGGUAAAGAAGCACCGGCUAACUACGUG